RNAcentral lists this ribosomal RNA (254 nucleotides) under uncultured bacterium. Its description in RNAcentral is "partial 16S ribosomal RNA". It matches the Rfam family "Bacterial small subunit ribosomal RNA", at positions 524 to 776 of the family's 1533-position model. The record is from RNAcentral.
UACGUAGGGUGCGAGCGUUGUCCGGAAUUAUUGGGCGUAAAGAGCUCGUAGGCGGUCUGUCGCGUCGAUCGUGAAAACUUGGGGCUUAACCCUGAGCUUGCGGUCGAUACGGGCAUGACUGGAGUUCGGCAGGGGAGACUGGAAUUCCUGGUGUAGCGGUGAAAUGCGCAGAUAUCAGGAAGAACACCCGUGGCGAAGGCGGCUCUCUGGGACGGUACUGACGCUGAGACGCGAAAGCGUGGGGAGCGAACAGG